RNAcentral lists this ribosomal RNA (484 nucleotides) under uncultured bacterium. Its description in RNAcentral is "partial 16S ribosomal RNA". It matches the Rfam family "Bacterial small subunit ribosomal RNA", at positions 28 to 523 of the family's 1533-position model. The record is from RNAcentral.
GACGAACGCUGGCGGCGUGCUUAACACAUGCAAGUCGAACGAUGAAGCUGGAGCUUGCUCUGGCGGAUUAGUGGCGAACGGGUGAGUAACACGUGAGAAAUCUGCCCUUGGCCCUGGGAUAACUGCGGGAAACUGUAGCUAAUACCGGAUACUUUCCCUGGUGGGCAUCCACUGGGGAAGAAAGAAUUUCGGUCAAGGAUGAUCUCGCGGCCUAUCAGCUUGUUGGUGAGGUAAUGGCUCACCAAGGCGACGACGGGUAGCCGGCCUGAGAGGGUGACCGGCCACACUGGGACUGAGACACGGCCCAGACUCCUACGGGAGGCAGCAGUGGGAAAUAUUGCACAAUGGGCGCAAGCCUGAUGCAGCAACGCCGCGUGAGGGAUGAAGGCCUUCGGGUUGUAAACCUCUUUUAGCAGGGAAGAAGCGAAAGUGACGGUACCUGCAGAAAAAGCACCGGCUAACUACGUGCCAGCAGCCGCGGUAA